AUGAUCGAUAGACUCAAAAAGGAUACCAACAUGCUGAAAAUGUAUGGCGACAUAAUUAAGGACCAAAAACGCCGAGGGUUCAUUGAGCGGGUAACAGAAAAUGGAAACCAGUCAAACAGAAUUCACUACAUUCCUCACCAUGCAGUAAAAAAGGACUCAUCUACGACUCCUAUACGUAUAGUCUAUGAUUGUAGUUGUCACGAAUCACCUCACAAGGCUAGUUUAAACGAUUGUCUCAUGUCAGUUCCGCCGAUGUUAAACGAUUUGACGGGAAUUUUAGCUAGAUUCAGAUUACACAAGCACGCAGUGACUACCGACAUAGAGAAAGCGUUUUUGAAUGUCGAACUGGAUAAAGAAGAUAGGGACGUCACAAGAUUUUUUUGGUUGAGUGAUCCAUCUGACCCAGACAGUCCACUGAUAACUUACCGUUUUAGAGUCGUUCUAUUUGGAACUACAUGCUCACCUUACAUCUUGAAUGCCACCCUUAUGAAGCACUUCAAACUCAAUUCUUGUAAAACAGCCGAGAUACUGAAAAACGACCUGUAUGUUGACAAUGUUUUGUCAAGCUUCUGGGAUGAGAAAGAAAUGCUGAAAUUCUACAGAGAAUCACGAGAUUUAUUGGCAAGAGGAGGAUUCAAUCUGAGAUCAUGGACGUCAAAUAGCACAGAAUUACUACGCUUAGCCCAAUCUGAAAAAUGCAUAGAAAGAGAUACGAACAUCAAAAUUCUUGGUCUCCGUUGGAAUGUGAACAACGAUCAAAUCUCGUUUCAAAACAACAUAAAUACAACAACGGAAAGGAUAAUAACAAAACGUGAGAUCUUAAAACAAUCUUCAAACAUUUAUGAUCCGCUAGGUCUGCUUAGCCCCGUCACCGUCAGAACAAAGAUGUUAAUGCAAUUGUUGUGGAAAGAAAAGUUUGCAUGGGACUGCCCUUUACCAAAAGAAAUCGAAUCAACAUGGAGUGAUUUGACCAAAGAUCUACAAUUUGCAAUGAACAUUGAGAUUCCUAGAUGUUAUUUUUGAGUGUUCAGGAAUAACGGACAUUGAAACAGCAGAAUUACAUAUUUUCACAGAUUCAAGUCAACUAGCUUAUGGAACCUGUGCGUAUCUUGUCACAGAAAAGGAGUCUGCAUUAGUAAUGGCAAAGAAUCGAGUUGCCCCAUUGAAAAGUGUCACUCUACCUAAUCUUGAACUGAUGGCUGCCCUUUUAGGGGCUCGACUUGCGAAACAUCUUAUUCAAAAUCUACAUAUUGGAAACUUACAAAUCAACUUCUGGUGUGACAGUCAGAUCGUUUUGAAAUGGCUUCAAUCAACAAAAACCACUCAAAAAGUUUGUCGCAAACAGAGUCAAGGAAAUUAAGGAGUCAAAUGAAAAUCAAAAAUGGCGUUAUUGUCCGACGGAUGCAAAUCCUGCAGAUUUAUUAACUAGAGGCAUAACAGGAACGAAAUUCAUAAACAACAAAUUAACAGAUUAUGGUUUCAUGGACCCGAGUGGAUAACAGACAAAACACAAUGGCCAACAUGGAGCGGAAACGAAAUUGUUGAAAACGAGAAUAUAAUGGAGAUUCCCACUAAUGAAACCUCAGAAAAACAGCACGUCUUACUCACAUCUCAGAAACGUCAAGAAUUUGGCAUACAUAAGAUUAUGGAUAUCGAACGUUAUAGCAGUUUGAAGACAUUAAUACGUGUUACAGCCUAUGUGAUGAGAUUUAUACAAAACUGUAAGUUAGCACGGAGUGAUAGAACAUUGUCGGAAUUAACCGUUAAUGAAAUACAGCAUGCUACAUUGACAUGGAUACAAACGGUUCAGAAAUCAGAAUAUCAUGAAGUGUUUAAUUAUUUCAACAAAUCUGUGACAGUUAAGCCGUCUAUUGUAAGACAAUUGAACUUGUACUUUGAUGAAGAAAAUGCACUUCGUUGCCGCGGGAGAAUUCAACAUGCACCUUUGGAGGAAUCAGCUAAACAUCCAUACUUGUUACCUCCGUUACAUAGACUCACUUCACUCAUUAUUAUGGAUGCUCAUAUCAAUCAUUUACAUGAAGGCGUCAACUCUACCGUAACACACUUGCGACAAGUAUACUGGAUACCUCGAAUUCGUCAACGAGUCAAAGUUAUUCUUAGAAAAUGCGUUAACUGUCGGAAAGUAACAGGGCAUGCUUACCAACAACCUGAUCCACCGCCACUGCCCAAAGAGAGGUUACACGAGGAUAUACCGUUUACUGUUACAGGCGUAGACUUUGCUGGUCCUAUGUAUGUGCGAAAUACAGAUGAUACAAAAUCAAAGGUAUACUUAUGUUUGUUUACAUGUGCGUCGACGAGAGCUGUUCAUUUAGAACUUGUGAAUAACUUAUCAGAACCUACAUUUAUGUUAGCCUUCAGAAGAUUCGCAAGCAGGAGAUCCUUACCGAAGUUACUAAUAUCUGACAAUGCACUAACUUUUGAAGCUGCCAGUCGAGAAAUCAAACAUCUUACAAACUCAAAUUCAGUGCGCGAAAGUCUAAGCUCUACAGGAACAAAGUGGAAAUUUAUUACAAAGAAAGCUCCGUGGUUUGGUGGUUUCUAUGAACGGUUGAUUGGGUUAACGAAAAUGUGUUUAAAGAAAGUAUUAGGAAGUAACUGUGUCGAUUUAGAGACUUUACAAACUGUGUUAACAGAGAUCGAAGCAACUCUCAAUGAUAGACCUCUAACGUAUGUUUCAUCCGAUCUUACGGAUCUAGAACCACUGACACCAUCACAUCUUUUGUAUGGUCGAAAAAUUACGCGACUUCCGUAUCCAGCUAGUGAAAACAAUGGACAUUUUGAACCAAUUAACUUUAACAAACGUGUUCAAUUACAAAGAGACAUUCUAAACCACUUUCAACAGCGAUGGAAAUAUGAGUAUUUGACCUCAUUACGGGAACAUCACAGAAGUGUAGGAAAUAACGAACAAUCGAUAGCUAUUGGUGAUGUUGUUCAAAUACAUGACGAAACUUUAAGAAAUUCAUGGAAACUCGCCGUUGUCGAAGAACUCGUAAAAGGAGAGGAUAAUCUUAUCAGAACUGUAAAACUUCGCACUAAAAACGGAACCACCAACCGCCCAAUCACGAAAUUAUACCCAAUCGAAGUGAACUGUAUUGAAUCUGAACCGGAGGAUGUUACACGACCCAAGAUGUUCCGUCAGGCGAAGUCAGAUGCCGUACAAAAGAUUCACGAGUGGACAAAAUAA
This 3205-nucleotide small RNA is filed under the name Mytilus galloprovincialis (Mediterranean mussel). Lineage: Eukaryota; Metazoa; Mollusca; Bivalvia; Mytilida; Mytilidae. The record is from RNAcentral.